ACUGCUCGACCAGCAUUUUUUCUGCUCGAGCAGAAAAAUCCUGCUCGACCAGCAUUUAUUUUUAGAUUAUGGCAUUAGCCAAUCAGAACUCUUGUUAUAUUUGCCGUUUGGUGCGAAACUGGUUUGUUUGGAAAAAAUGGCUGCCGCCAUGAUGGUGCCUUUUUCACAUCUUCUGCAAGUUUAUGUGACGACCUGCUUAAAGUUUAACAUUGACACGCGGUGGACUUCAAUAUGUAUGAUCUACUUAUGCUGCCACAAUGUAAAGGCAACAAUCACUGGGUUUUGCUGGUUGCAAGUGUUAUGUCCAGGACUGUAACCAUUUACGACUCGUUGGGUGGUAACAACAAGGCCUUGUUCGAUUUGUUCUGCCAGUUUAUGUGUCAACGAGCGCAAAUUGUGAAAGAUGGCUUGGAAAAAUUCAGUUCAGAGUUCAAAGCGCCACCUUGCAACAAACAGCGCCAUGGAAACAGCUGUGGAGUGUUUGCAUUGAUGACUGCCAAAUGUUUGGUCAUGAAAAAGCAUCCCACAAUGUUGCGACAGGCCCAUGAUUCAGUUUAUCGAGACUAGUCGUGAGACGCAGUCUUCUGAUUCAUGGGGUGCGGCAAACAUAUCUGUGCGACUCGAUGACUUCACUGUCAAGACCCGCACGGCAUUAAAAUGGAUAUUAUCAAUAUGUGUUGUUUCUCGAAAAUAUGUUUUUGUAGCAGGAAGUGCUUUGGGCUCGAUUAAUCUGAGAACUCAACAAAAUAUUAAUAAAAUCCUUCUGUGCCAAAAACAUAUUGACUUAAAUUAAUUAAUCCCGAUGGCGUAAAUGACUUAUCAUUUCAUGUUCAUGAACCGGUGUUAAAAUACUUUGUAGACUUAUCUGCUAGGCGGUGAGGACUUUUAGACCACCUGAUAAACUUCAACUUUAUUUGCCCUAGUUCAGUAACCGACUAAAGAUAUGCUAACAUAAUACUGAUGACUGAUGAGUCUGCUGUGUCUUAUAUUCUCAUUGCUACUUAAAAUAUUAAGUCUAUUUCAACGUUUAGACUAAUAAUAAGCAAAUUCGUUAAAUUGAUAUCCCCCGCCAAAUAAAUUUUGAUUAUUGAUGGGUGCAGAACUAACAGAAAAGUUUAUUUGAAGGGUUGUACCCUUAUCUCACUUAUUUAAAAGCAACAACAUAAAAAUACAAUUGGCAAUAACUCUUAUUUAAGAAAGUGUAGGGUUAUAGAUUUUGUGCAUGACACCUCUCCUCAUUGAUAUCUUAACAUCCAUUAAAUUUCAUCUUUAAAUCGUGUAUAGUAUCUGUGAUAUAGUCCUGUAAAGUAACAUCAGACAUGUACAUAUGUACUAGGGUUAUGUUUCUUGUGCAUGGCACUUAUUCUCAUUGACAAUUAUACACCCAUGAAAUUUCAUGUUGAAAUCUUGUAUUUAUAGUUUCUGAGAUAAAGCCCUGAGAAGUUACAUCAUACAAAAACAACAAAGGACAAUAACUCUUAUUUAAGAAAGUGAAGGGUUGUGGUUCUUAUGCAUGGUUCUAUAAAUGAGAUAUAGCCCUGAAAAGUUACAUCAUUAAAUGACAAUAACAAGUAAGGGCAAUAACCGUUAUGUAAGAAAGUAUACGGUUAUGGUUCUCAUGCAUUGAUAAUUAUAGACCCAUUAAGUUUCAUGUUAAAAUCUUGUAUAGUAUUUGAGAUAUAGCCCUAGUUACAUCAUACAAAAACAACAAAGCGCAAUAACUCUUAUAUCAGAAAGUGGCGGGUUAUGGUUCUUGUGCAUGGCACCUCUCCUCAGCUAUAUUUAU
Dreissena polymorpha is the source of this 1786-nucleotide long non-coding RNA. RefSeq lists it as uncharacterized. The record is from RefSeq and is a predicted model, not a curated record. Lineage: Eukaryota; Metazoa; Mollusca; Bivalvia; Myida; Dreissenidae. The transcript is spliced from 4 exons.